Long non-coding RNA from Capsicum annuum, 1292 nucleotides. RefSeq lists it as uncharacterized. NCBI's taxonomy places the organism in Eukaryota, Viridiplantae, Streptophyta, Magnoliopsida, Solanales, Solanaceae. The record is from RefSeq and is a predicted model, not a curated record. The transcript is spliced from 2 exons.
UUUUUUUUGGCAUCCAUCAGUAACAAAAAAAAGGCAUUAACAGUAACCAAAAAAAAAUUAAAAAAUACUCUCACCCUCUCUUCGCCGGCGACAACGGCGCCGGCGCCGUCGAGCUCCCUCACUCUCUCCCUCUCUCUAGACUCCACUCUCUCUCUCUCUCUCCAAAAAAAGAGAUCGGCAUCCGCGAGCUCUCCCUCUCCGGCGAUAAUGCCGUCAAACCAUACCGUUCUCCUCCAGCCGCCGACCCGACCCGAUCUCCCUCCGGCAACGGCAGCAGGCGCCAGUCAACACCCAACAAGACGACAUGAGCAGCUCCACCAGCAUCGUCGUAUGCUCCGAUCGAACCGGAGAGUGAGAUCUGAGGAUCACCUCCGUUUCCGGUUGCUGCCAAACGCACCGGAGCACAGGCGUAGCAAAGGGUCCUUUUUUUUUUAGUUCAAAAUCCACCGAAAAACAUCCCCGAGCUUUGCCUCUUACUGCUUGAUUGUUGGUCACUGUUCGGAGCUCGGAUCGUACGGUUGGACGCCGAAAUCUGACUUUUCCGGUUUUGGAGCUGUUCGGUUAUUAUUUUAAUACCGAGUUUGGUUUUCUCGUUGUGAGGUUCUCCGGUCGAGUAUUUUGAUCUUUGGAUUUCUUUAUUAUCGACAAGGAUUAAUUUCAUCGAGGUCCAUUUCUUCUAACCGAAUCUUUAAUUUAUUUUUGACUUUUCGUGAUGUUGUGGGUGUGGAUGAUUUAUUUGUCGCAUGUUUGGUAUGUUCGAAUAUGUGUUAUGUGUUGGUUGAUGUUGGUUUCAGACUUUGAAAAGUGAAUUGAUAAAUCGAAGCAUGUUUAAUCAUAUUGUUUGAAAUAAAUUUGGGGACGGGAAUCAAAAAUUGAUAAAAGUGAAUAUUAUGAUAUUUUUGAUACAUUGUUGAUGUUGAAUACGAUAUGUCGUCGAGCGGGUAGGCAAACGUAGGCCGGGUAGGCGAAAUUUAGGAAUAAGUGUUUCGUGGGAUGUUGGAAUGUGCAUGUGAAUGUCUUUUUCUAGAUUAUCGUGUUUAAUUUAGAUGUAUUUAUUUAGCCGGGGAAUGCCCCGAGAUCACUUGUAUUUAUUCACCGGGGAAUGCCCCGACGUAUCAUGUUGGCGGAGAAUUAUCGUGAUGAAGGCCCGCGGCGUCGGGUAAGGCAUUGGAGCUUAGUCUAGAUUUAGUUUAGACUAGGAUUUAUAUUUUCGUAUUUUUUUUCUAUUUUUCGGACUGUAUAAUUGGAUUGGACUUUACGUUUUUAGACUGCUUUGUUUUGUUUAUUGUUUG